This 693-nucleotide ribosomal RNA is filed under the name Bacillus subtilis. RNAcentral describes it as "bacterial SSU rRNA". It matches the Rfam family "Bacterial small subunit ribosomal RNA", at positions 564 to 1254 of the family's 1533-position model. Lineage: Bacteria; Bacillati; Bacillota; Bacilli; Caryophanales; Bacillaceae. The record is from RNAcentral.
AGGGCUCGCAGGCGGUUUUUUAAGUCCUGAUGUGAAAGCCCCCGGCUCAACCGGGGAGGGUCAUUUCGGAAACUGGGGAACUUGAGUGCAGAAGAGGAGAGUGGAAUUCCACGUGUAGCGGUGAAAUGCGUAGAGAUGUGGAGGAACACCAGUGGCGAAGGCGACUCUCUGGUCUGUAACUGACGCUGAGGAGCGAAAGCGUGGGGAGCGAACAGGAUUAGAUACCCUGGUAGUCCACGCCGUAAACGAUGAGUGCUAAGUGUUAGGGGGUUUCCGCCCCUUAGUGCUGCAGCUAACGCAUUAAGCACUCCGCCUGGGGAGUACGGUCGCAAGACUGAAACUCAAAGGAAUUGACGGGGGCCCGCACAAGCGGUGGAGCAUGUGGUUUAAUUCGAAGCAACGCGAAGAACCUUACCAGGUCUUGACAUCCUCUGACAAUCCUAGAGAUAGGACGUCCCCUUCGGGGGCAGAGUGACAGGUGGUGCAUGGUUGUCGUCAGCUCGUGUCGUGAGAUGUUGGGUUAAGUCCCGCAACGAGCGCAACCCUUGAUCUUAGUUGCCAGCAUUCAGUUGGGCACUCUAAGGUGACUGCCGGUGACAAACCGGAGGAAGGUGGGGAUGACGUCAAAUCAUCAUGCCCCUUAUGACCUGGGCUACACACGUGCUACAAUGGACAGAACAAAGGGCAGCGAAA